Molecule: ribosomal RNA, 502 nt
Filed under: uncultured bacterium
Lineage: Bacteria
Description: partial 16S ribosomal RNA
Rfam family: Bacterial small subunit ribosomal RNA
Source: RNAcentral
AUUGAACGCUGGCGGCAGGCUUAACACAUGCAAGUCGAGCGGAGUGAUGGUGCUUGCACUAUCACUUAGCGGCGGACGGGUGAGUAAUGCUUAGGAAUCUGCCUAUUAGUGGGGGACAACAUCUCGAAAGGGAUGCUAAUACCGCAUACGUCCCACGGGAGAAAGCAGGGGAUCACUUGUGACCUUGCGCUAAUAGAUGAACCUAAGUCGGAUUAGCUAGUUGGUGGGGUAAAGGCCUACCAAGGCGACGAUCUGUAGCGGGUCUGAGAGGAUGAUCCGCCACACUGGGACUGAGACACGGCCCAGACUCCUACGGGAGGCAGCAGUGGGGAAUAUUGGACAAUGGGGGGAACCCUGAUCCAGCAUGCCGCGUGUGUGAAGAAGGCCUUAUGGUUGUAAAGCACUUUAAGCGAGGAGGAGGCUCUUUUGGUUAAUACCCAAGAUGAGUGGACGUUACUCGCAGAAUAAGCACCGGCUAACUCUGUGCCAGCCGCCGCAGUAA